This 468-nucleotide ribosomal RNA is filed under the name uncultured bacterium. Its description in RNAcentral is "partial 16S ribosomal RNA". It matches the Rfam family "Bacterial small subunit ribosomal RNA", at positions 28 to 507 of the family's 1533-position model. The record is from RNAcentral.
GACGAACGCUGGCGGCGUGCUUAACACAUGCAAGUCGAACGGAAAGGCCCUGCUUUUGUGGUGUGCUCGAGUGGCGAACGGGUGAGUAACACGUGAGUAACCUGCCCUUGACUUUGGGAUAACUUCAGGAAACUGGGGCUAAUACCGGAUAGGAGCUCCUGCUGCAUGGUGGGGGUUGGAAAGUUUCGGCGGUUGGGGAUGGACUCGCGGCUUAUCAGCUUGUUGGUGGGGUAGUGGCUUACCAAGGCUUUGACGGGUAGCCGGCCUGAGAGGGUGACCGGCCACAUUGGGACUGAGAGACGGCCCAGACUCCUACGGGAGGCAGAAGGGGGGAAUAUUGCACAAUGGGCGGAAGCCUGAUGCAGCAACGCCGCGUGCGGGAUGACGGCCUUCGGGUUGUAAACCGCUUUCGCCUGUGACGAAGCGUGAGUGACGGUAAUGGGUAAAGAAGCACCGGCUAACUACGUG